ACAAGGUAAAGUGCAUGGUUGUUUUGUGUUUAGUUCCAUUCCGCUGCUCCGCAGACACCAUGGAGAGAGUCGCUGUCUGAGAGCCACGGCACGGACAGAACUCUCACUCUGACACUGUUUCCUGGAACCCCCAAAAAACGUCAUGACGUAUUGUGCGUGGCCUCUGCACAGACGACGCUGAAGAGCCGGCUUUUUUAUUUUACUCGAGUGAUCCGUCAUCACAACACAAACGAUCGUUGUUGCUAUGCAAAAUGAGGACGUCAAUGACGCGAAGGGGAGGAGUGUUGCUGUGACAACCAGGAAUGUUCAACAAAACACGAGCGCGGGAAACAAAACAUGAUUUAGCCCAUUUAACCUACAGCGAUGCACUUUGACACAGUUAUAGCCUACUAUUGUCAACACUUUAUAUCUUUUAUUAACGUCAUGUUACGAAACUGAAGCCUGCACGGUUAAAACAGGACAUUCAGAGGAAAAGGAAAAACGCAAGUGAGUUCUCAGAGAAGACCCACGCUAUUGUUUAUAAUCACGUCUGGCCACUAGGCUACUGAGAAAAGCAACAUGCUGUUGUGGAAAAGUUGGGCCUACAUUUAACAAACCAGUUAUCAGUUUGCUGUGCAACCAAACACACCCUCGGAUGGAUUGCACACCAAAGGUCUACAUAACGUCAUGUCACUGUCGGCCAAUCUCAGAUGGUGUAUUUCCCAGCAAGGUCCGCCCCUUUUACAGGAUGCACCAUAUAUGGAAAAUUACGUAUUGGGGAUCCCGUUUCUGGAAUAUUCCAUUUCUCAA
Long non-coding RNA from Etheostoma cragini (Arkansas darter), 789 nucleotides. RefSeq lists it as uncharacterized. The transcript has 3 exons. The record is from RefSeq and is a predicted model, not a curated record. NCBI's taxonomy places the organism in Eukaryota, Metazoa, Chordata, Actinopteri, Perciformes, Percidae.